GAUGGACGCUGGCGGCGUGCCUAAUACAUGCAAGUCGAGCGAACGGACGAGAAGCUUGCUUCUCUGAUGUUAGCGGCGGACGGGUGAGUAACACGUGGAUAACCUACCUAUAAGGCUGGGAUAACUUCGGGAAACCGGAGCUAAUACCGGAUAAUAUUUUGAACCGCAUGGUUCAAAAGUGAAAGACGGUCUUGCUGUCACUUAUAGAUGGAUCCGCGCUGCAUUAGCUAGUUGGUAAGGUAACGGCUUACCAAGGCAACGAUGCAUAGCCGACCUGAGAGGGUGAUCGGCCACACUGGAACUGAGACACGGUCCAGACUCCUACGGGAGGCAGCAGUAGGGAAUCUUCCGCAAUGGGCGAAAGCCUGACGGAGCAACGCCGCGUGAGUGAUGAAGGUCUUCGGAUCGUAAAACUCUGUUAUUAGGGAAGAACAUAUGUGUAAGUAACUGUGCACAUCUUGACGGUACCUAAUCAGAAAGCCACGGCUAACUACGUGCCAGCAGCCGCGGUAAUACGUAGGUGGCAAGCGUUAUCCGGAAUUAUUGGGCGUAAAGCGCGCGUAGGCGGUUUUUUAAGUCUGAUGUGAAAGCCCACGGCUCAACCGUGGAGGGUCAUUGGAAACUGGAAAACUUGAGUGCAGAAGAGGAAAGUGGAAUUCCAUGUGUAGCGGUGAAAUGCGCAGAGAUAUGGAGGAACACCAGUGGCGAAGGCGACUUUCUGGUCUGUAACUGACGCUGAUGUGCGAAAGCGUGGGGAUCAAACAGGAUUAGAUACCCUGGUAGUCCACGCCGUAAACGAUGAGUGCUAAGUGUUAGGGGGUUUCCGCCCCUUAGUGCUGCAGCUAACGCAUUAAGCACUCCGCCUGGGGAGUACGACCGCAAGGUUGAAACUCAAAGGAAUUGACGGGGACCCGCACAAGCGGUGGAGCAUGUGGUUUAAUUCGAAGCAACGCGAAGAACCUUACCAAAUCUUGACAUCCUUUGACAACUCUAGAGAUAGAGCCUUCCCCUUCGGGGGACAAAGUGACAGGUGGUGCAUGGUUGUCGUCAGCUCGUGUCGUGAGAUGUUGGGUUAAGUCCCGCAACGAGCGCAACCCUUAAGCUUAGUUGCCAUCAUUAAGUUGGGCACUCUAAGUUGACUGCCGGUGACAAACCGGAGGAAGGUGGGGAUGACGUCAAAUCAUCAUGCCCCUUAUGAUUUGGGCUACACACGUGCUACAAUGGGCAAUACAAAGGGCAGCGAAACCGCGAGGUCAAGCAAAUCCCAUAAAGUUGUUCUCAGUUCGGAUUGUAGUCUGCAACUCGACUACAUGAAGCUGGAAUCGCUAGUAAUCGUAGAUCAGCAUGCUACGGUGAAUACGUUCCCGGGUCU
RNAcentral lists this ribosomal RNA (1372 nucleotides) under uncultured bacterium. RNAcentral's name for it is "bacterial SSU rRNA". It matches the Rfam family "Bacterial small subunit ribosomal RNA", at positions 28 to 1381 of the family's 1533-position model. The record is from RNAcentral.